AACGAACGCUGGCGGCAUGCCUAACACAUGCAAGUCGAACGAGACCUUCGGGUCUAGUGGCGCACGGGUGCGUAACGCGUGGGAACCUGCCCUUAGGUUCGGAAUAACUCCCCGAAAGGGGUGCUAAUACCGGAUAAUGUCUUCGGACCAAAGAUUUAUCGCCUUUGGAUGGGCCCGCGUUGGAUUAGCUAGUUGGUAGGGUAAAAGCCUACCAAGGCGACGAUCCAUAGCUGGUCUGAGAGGUUGAUCAGCCACACUGGGACUGAGACACGGCCCAGACACGGGGGGGGGGAAGGAGGAGGAAAUAUGGAGCAAUGGGCGAAAGCGUGAUCGGGCACGGCCGGGGGAGUGAUGAGGUCCUGGGGGUUGUAACGCUCUUUGACCAGGGAUCAUAAUGACAUUCCGGGGAGAACAAGCUCCGUCAACCUCAGUCCCACCGGCCGCGCUAACAAUCGGAAGCGCACCCGUCCGAAC
RNAcentral lists this ribosomal RNA (474 nucleotides) under uncultured bacterium. Its description in RNAcentral is "partial 16S ribosomal RNA". It matches the Rfam family "Bacterial small subunit ribosomal RNA", at positions 34 to 540 of the family's 1533-position model. The record is from RNAcentral.